AGCAGUGUGGUUUACUGGGUAGAACAUAUGCCUGGGAGUCAGAAGGACCUGGGUUCUAAUCCUGACUCUGCCA
This 73-nucleotide transfer RNA is filed under the name Ornithorhynchus anatinus (platypus). It matches the Rfam family "tRNA". Rfam says of the family: Transfer RNA (tRNA) molecules are approximately 80 nucleotides in length. Their secondary structure includes four short double-helical elements and three loops (D, anti-codon, and T loops). Further hydrogen bonds mediate the characteristic L-shaped molecular structure. tRNAs have two regions of fundamental functional importance: the anti-codon, which is responsible for specific mRNA codon recognition, and the 3' end, to which the tRNAs corresponding amino acid is attached (by aminoacyl-tRNA synthetases). tRNAs cope with the degeneracy of the genetic code in two manners: having more than one tRNA (with a specific anti-codon) for a particular amino acid; and 'wobble' base-pairing, i.e. permitting non-standard base-pairing at the 3rd anti-codon position. The record is from Rfam by way of RNAcentral. Lineage: Eukaryota; Metazoa; Chordata; Mammalia; Monotremata; Ornithorhynchidae.